Molecule: long non-coding RNA, 1567 nt
Organism: Vicia villosa (hairy vetch)
Lineage: Eukaryota; Viridiplantae; Streptophyta; Magnoliopsida; Fabales; Fabaceae
Exons: 3
Source: RefSeq, a predicted model, not a curated record
ACUAUCUUCACCUUUACUAGCGCACACACUUAGCACACACACUAUCUUUACCUUUACCUUUACUAGCACACACACUAUCUCCACCUUUACUAGCGCACACACUUUCUUUACCUUUACUAGCACAGUAUCUAGGGCGGUUCAGAAUUGAAAAUUCAUUUCUGUUCUAACAAACUGAAAAAGAAAGUUUGUUACAAUGCCAGUUCCUGUUCUUCACCUCAUGUAUGCCAUGGCCUCUGGCUUGGGUUUAACCACAAUGUAAGAUUCAGCUCACACCACACACUCAUCUACACAAUCAGCGCCUUCUUUGGACCUGACAUUGGCUCCUUCUCCGAGUGGCUUGGCUCUCUUCUUGUUGGACAUACUCUAGUGUCCGAUGCAGCGGAUUACAUCCAUGAUCCUUUCUAUUACAUCUUUUUCUUAGGAAUCCCUUUGUGUUACCUUUACUCUAAGCUUUCAUCCUUUCUUCUUCGUUCACGUCGUCUUGAUUCUGCUCACUCAAGGUUUCUCCCCUUACAAAGAUGCAGUGUUGGUUCUUGAAAUCUGCCGGAUCGUUUACUCAUUUCUUUCGGGAGAAUGGAAAGCAACCACGUACAAAUGGAUUUUGAGCCCUGGUUGGUGAGAUGGCAGGGCAACCGUUAACACAGUAGAAACAAACACACACAGUUGAAAACAAACAAUGAAAAAUACCUCAAAAAGGUGAUCCAAGAAGAAAUGAGUAAACAAUCCGGCAGAUAUCAAGAACCAACGCUCCAUGUUUGUAAGGGGAGAAACCUGCAAAUUAAUAUGAAAUUAAUAUUAGUUAAUAAUAAAUUAAGAGAUUAGGAAGAAAAUUGAGGUAAUCAUCCUGAAGUGAACAAAAUCAAGACGGCGUGAACGAAGAAGAAAGAAUGAAAGCUGAGAGUAAAGGUAACAUAGAGGGAUUUCUAAGAAAAUGAUGUAAUAGAAAGGAUCAUGGAUGUAAUCGGCUGCGUCAGACACUAGAGUAUAUCCGUUAAGAAGAGAGCCAAGCUGCCACUCGGAGAAGGAGCCAAUGUCACGUCCAAAUAAGGCGUUGAUUGUGUAGAUGAGUGUGUGGUCUGAGCUAAAUCUUCAGUCCGGUUAAACCCAAGCCGGAGGCCAUCGCGUACCUGAGGUGAGGAGCAUGGCCUGUCAUUGUAACACAUUUUCUUUUUCAGUUUGUUACAACAAAAUGAAUUAUCAAUUAUGAACAGCCAUAGAACAAGAUAUAUAUGAGUUUGAUACUGUGCUAGUAAAGGUAAAGAUAGUGUGUUGUGUUGUAUGUUUGAGAGACAAUUAUUAGAAUGUUUAUUUACUAACUCUUGUUUAGUUAUUAUUCUCCGUUUAAUUAAGUUUAGUUGUCUGGAGGAAGUCCAUUUGGAGUGUGUUUAAUUGCGAUUAAAGUCAUUGGUUUGAGUUUCGUAGUUACCUAACUCUCUAAGAAUUUAGAAUUGCAAUAAAUAUCAACUUCUUUUAAGUUAAAAGUUUAAAAUACACUUUUCCUUUUAAUUUCCACAAUUUUGUUUCUUUUUAAGAAUUUCAAAAAUGUGAGAAUUAGAUCAAUUUAUAU